RNAcentral lists this ribosomal RNA (371 nucleotides) under uncultured organism. Its description in RNAcentral is "bacterial SSU rRNA". It matches the Rfam family "Bacterial small subunit ribosomal RNA", at positions 526 to 896 of the family's 1533-position model. The record is from RNAcentral.
CAGAGGGUGCGAGCGUUAAUCGGAAUUACUGGGCGUAAAGCGUGCGUAGGCGGUUAUUUAAGUCGGGUGUGAAAGCCCCGGGCUCAACCUGGGAAUUGCAUUCGGGACUGAAUAGCUAGGGUACGGUAGAGGGAAGUGGAAUUUCCGGUGUAGCGGUGAAAUGCGUAGAUAUCGGAAGGAACAUCAGUGGCGAAAGCGACUUCCUGGACCAGUACCGACGUUCAGGCACGAAAGCGUGGGGAGCAAACAGGAUUAGAUACCCUGGUAGUCCACGCCAUAAACGAUGAGGACUAGACGUUGGAGGGGUAAGCCUUUCAGUGUCGUAGCUAACGCGCUAAGUCCUCCGCCUGGGGAGUACGGCCGCAAGGUUG